AUUGUUCUUAUUUAUGAAGUGGUGUGUGUUGAACAGAUCCCACAGGUGUGUCUCCUCUGAGCUACGUCAUGUUGGCUGUGCGUGUUGCCGGACUGAUCCUCAUGAUUGUCAUCACCGUUCUUGUCAUCAGAAACAAAUGGAACACAAAACCACUUGAAAAAGACAACAAUGUGAAUAAUGGCGCCGACGUCCAGUAUGAAAACGUGGAAGCACGUCCUGCUGCUGCUCGACCACAGUGAUCAACAACUUCAGAUCAUCAGAAAGUCAAAUACCAUCAGUCAUUGUACUCAUGUGAUCAAAGCUUUCAGUUCAAAUGAUUGGUUUAUAUUUAGGAUACAUAUAGCUCGCUCUUCAUACACCUCAAGUACUGCAAAUAUAUCCAGUGGUGGAAGAAGUAUUCAGAU
This is a long non-coding RNA of Sander lucioperca (pikeperch), 404 nucleotides long. RefSeq lists it as uncharacterized. The record is from RefSeq and is a predicted model, not a curated record. NCBI's taxonomy places the organism in Eukaryota, Metazoa, Chordata, Actinopteri, Perciformes, Percidae. The transcript has 3 exons.